AUGAAUGUGGGCUGUAUAUGGGGGCUGCUUGUGGAAUUGUGUGUGUGGAUGGAUAUGUCACAUUGUGUGUUUGGUAGUGUGUGUAUGUGUGGGGUCUGUGUGGGGUAAUGCAUGUGAGAGGCUGCAUGUGGGGUUGUGUGCAUGGUAUGUGGAUUGUUAGUGGUGUUGCGUUUGUGCAGAUUGUGUGUAUGUUUGUGUGUGGGCUGUUAUUAUUUGUAUGAGGGGAGGGUUACUCUGCAUUGCUGUGUAUAUCUAGGAGUGUGGGUGGCUUCCCAGGGUUCCAGUGGGGACCAUGCCGUCCAGGUACAGGUCAAGGACAGGAGCUGCAACAACAAUUAUUAGCAGAUAUCUGAAGUUUUACUGGGACUCCUGUUUGGCUCUAGCAGCCUUGAGUGCCGUGCAAUGGCACCUCGAGUGCUGUGCAUGGCACUAGUGCCGUAGGUUGCCUACACCUGCCCUAUGCUAUUCCUGUUCCUUUUGUAAAUGUUUACCAAAUAAAUAAUGUUAAAACGAAC
Pelobates cultripes (western spadefoot toad) is the source of this 515-nucleotide non-coding RNA. NCBI's taxonomy places the organism in Eukaryota, Metazoa, Chordata, Amphibia, Anura, Pelobatidae. The record is from the annotation of a GenBank genome assembly.